UAGUAUUCAAUUGUCAGAGGUGAAAUUCUUGGAUUUAUUGAAGACUAACUACUGCGAAAGCAUUUGCCAAGGAUGUUUUCAUUAAUCAAGAACGAAAGUUAGGGGAUCGAUGACGAUCAGAUACCGUCGUAGUCUAAACCAUAAACUAUGCCGACUAGGGAUCGGAUGAUGUUAAUUAAUGACUCA
This 186-nucleotide ribosomal RNA is filed under the name uncultured Glomeromycotina. Its description in RNAcentral is "partial 18S ribosomal RNA". It matches the Rfam family "Eukaryotic small subunit ribosomal RNA", at positions 892 to 1078 of the family's 1831-position model. The record is from RNAcentral. Lineage: Eukaryota; Fungi; Glomeromycota.